This 97-nucleotide signal recognition particle RNA is filed under the name Candidatus Melainabacteria bacterium RIFCSPLOWO2_02_FULL_35_15. RNAcentral's name for it is "signal recognition particle sRNA small type". It matches the Rfam family "Bacterial small signal recognition particle RNA". From Rfam's summary of the family: The signal recognition particle (SRP) is a universally conserved ribonucleoprotein involved in the co-translational targeting of proteins to membranes. Archaeal SRP consists of a 7S RNA and homologues of the eukaryotic SRP19 and SRP54 proteins. In most bacteria, the SRP consists of a 4.5S RNA and the Ffh protein (a homologue of the eukaryotic SRP54 protein). RNAcentral also lists the same sequence under 1 other name. The record is from RNAcentral. Lineage: Bacteria; Bacillati; Candidatus Melainabacteria.
CUCGCUGUUAGGUAUGGCAAAGCUCUUACAAACCUGGUCAGGUAGGAAACUAAGCAGCCAUAAGUAAAGUAUUUUGGGUAUACCUAAUGGCAUUUUU